CUCAAUGCCAUUCAGACAGGAGCUGUUUAUAGAUGGUGACUCCUUCAGGUAACUGCUUGCAGAAGUGAAUGCUUGGGAGAGUUCGGUUUUUGAGCAGAAGAAGAGAAGAAUUUUGUGUCUGGCCUGGGAGAGAGAUGGUGGAGGGCGGAUAAAGAAAAUAGAAGGGGAAGGCAUAAAGUCCCAUCUAUUUUGCUCCCCCUCCCCACCCCCCAACACUCAUACAGGUUCACACUGGCUGGAGGGGUUUCUCCAGAGCCC
RNAcentral lists this long non-coding RNA (258 nucleotides) under Homo sapiens (human). RNAcentral's name for it is "non-protein coding lnc-CPSF6-3:1". The record is from RNAcentral. Lineage: Eukaryota; Metazoa; Chordata; Mammalia; Primates; Hominidae.